This 403-nucleotide long non-coding RNA is filed under the name Gorilla gorilla gorilla (western lowland gorilla). RNAcentral's name for it is "lncRNA (ENSGGOG00000044304.1)". Lineage: Eukaryota; Metazoa; Chordata; Mammalia; Primates; Hominidae. The record is from RNAcentral.
GCGGCCUCGAAGCAGGUCCCAGGCGUGUGCAUUUAUAUGCAGAGUGACCAAGAAACUUCAGUAAUACUAGUUUGUGUCUUUGGAGUCCCACUUUUUGCCAGGGCUAGUGCUAACAGCUUCAGGAGAAUUCAGCCUCACCUUGACAGGACAUGCUCUGGAGUCAGAAGACAGCGAAAAGAGAAGCAGAAGCCCCGGUGGCAAGAGUCUGAAGCAAGAAGGAUGACUGUUGCCUGUGGAUUGUACUGCAGUAGGAAACUGUCCUAGCAAGGCUCCACCUUGCCCCAGCUUCAAGCUGGAAAGGAGGAGAACAUGAAACAUUGCUUGAAGACAAUGGCCGAGACAGCAGGUCCCACCCUGCACAGCCACCAGCAUCUCUCCCCUCAGCCCUGUCUCCUCUUCUGCA